RNAcentral lists this ribosomal RNA (478 nucleotides) under uncultured bacterium. RNAcentral describes it as "partial 16S ribosomal RNA". It matches the Rfam family "Bacterial small subunit ribosomal RNA", at positions 28 to 523 of the family's 1533-position model. The record is from RNAcentral.
GACGAACGCUGGCGGCGUGCUUAACACAUGCAAGUCGAACGGUAAGGCCCUUCGGGGUACACGAGUGGCGAACGGGUGAGUAACACGUGGGUGAUCUGCCCUGCACUUCGGGAUAAGCCUGGGAAACUGGGUCUAAUACCGGAUAGGACCACUGCCUGCAUGGGUGGUGGUGGAAAGCUUUUGCGGUGUGGGAUGGGCCCGCGGGCUAUCAGCUUGUUGGUGGGGUGAUGGCCUACCAAGGCGACGACGGGUAGCCGGCCUGAGAGGGUGACCGGCCAAAGGGGGACGGAGAUACGGCCCAGACUCAUACGGGAGGCAGCAGUGGGGAAUAUUGCACAAUGGGCGCAAGCCUGAUGCAGCGACGCCGCGUGAGGGAUGACGGCCUUCGGGUUGUAAACCUCUUUCAGCACCGACGAAGCGCAAGUGACGGUAGGUGCAGAAGAAGGACCGGCCAACUACGUGCCAGCCGCCGCCGUAA